This 341-nucleotide ribosomal RNA is filed under the name uncultured bacterium. RNAcentral describes it as "bacterial SSU rRNA". It matches the Rfam family "Bacterial small subunit ribosomal RNA", at positions 430 to 768 of the family's 1533-position model. The record is from RNAcentral.
CUUCUUUUAUAAGGGAAUAAAGUGCUUUACGUGUAGAGUUUGUAUGUACCUUAUGAAUAAGCAUCGGCUAACUCCGUGCCAGCAGCCGCGGUAAUACGGAGGAUGCGAGCGUUAUCCGGUAUUUAUUGGGUUUAAAGGGAGCGUAGACGGGAUGUUAAGUCAGCUGUGAAAGUUUGGGGCUCAACCUUAAAAUUGCAGUUGAAACUGGCGUUCUUGAGUGCGGUAGAGGCAGGCGGAAUUCGUGGUGUAGCGGUGAAAUGCUUAGAUAUCACGAAGAACUCCAAUUGCGAAGGCAGCUUGCUGGGUCUGUAACUGACGCUGAGGCGCGGUCGACGCGGCCG